GAUGAACGCUAGCGGGAGGCCUAAUACAUGCAAGUCGAACGGUAACAGGGUAGCAAUACCGCUGACGAGUGGCGCACGGGUGCGUAACGCGUACACAACCUGCCUUAUACUGGGGCAUAACCUUGGGAAACUGAGGCUAAUUCCCCAUAACAUGUCGAAAAGGCAUCUUUUUGACAUUAAAACUCCGGUGGUAUAAGAUGGGUGUGCGUCCGAUUAGGUAGUUGGUGGGGUAACGGCUCACCAAGCCAACGAUCGGUAGCUGGUCUGAGAGGAUGAUCAGCCACACGGGCACUGAGACACGGGCCCGACUCCUACGGGAGGCAGCAGUAGGGAAUAUUGGACAAUGGGCGAAAGCCUGAUCCAGCCAUCCCGCGUGAAGGAUUAAGGCCCUCUGGGUUGUAAACUUCUUUUCUCUGGGAAUAAAAAGUGGGGUUCUCCCUACCUUGAAGGUACCAGAGGAAUAAGCACCGGCUAACUCCGUG
RNAcentral lists this ribosomal RNA (482 nucleotides) under uncultured organism. RNAcentral's name for it is "bacterial SSU rRNA". It matches the Rfam family "Bacterial small subunit ribosomal RNA", at positions 28 to 507 of the family's 1533-position model. The record is from RNAcentral.